UACGUAGGUGGCAAGCGUUAUCCGGAUUUAUUGGGCGUAAAGGGAACGCAGGCGGUCUUUUAAGUCUGAUGUGAAAGCCUUCGGCUUAACCGGAGUAGUGCAUUGGAAACUGGGAGACUUGAGUGCAGAAGAGAAGAGUGGAACUCCAUGUGUAGCGGUGAAAUGCGUAGAUAUGUGGAAGAACACCAGUGGCGAAAGCGGCUCUCUGGUCUGUAACUGACGCUGAGGUUCGAAAGCGUGGGUAGCAAACAGG
RNAcentral lists this ribosomal RNA (253 nucleotides) under uncultured bacterium. RNAcentral describes it as "partial 16S ribosomal RNA". It matches the Rfam family "Bacterial small subunit ribosomal RNA", at positions 524 to 776 of the family's 1533-position model. The record is from RNAcentral.